Molecule: ribosomal RNA, 252 nt
Filed under: uncultured archaeon
Lineage: Archaea
Description: partial 16S ribosomal RNA
Rfam family: Archaeal small subunit ribosomal RNA
Source: RNAcentral
AACCAGCACCUCAAGUGGUCAGGAGGAUUAUUGGGCCUAAGCAUCCGUAGCCGGCUCUGUAAGUUUUCGGUUAAAUCCAUGUGCUCAACGCAUGGGCUGCCGAAAAUACUGCAUAGCUAGGGAGUGGGAGAGGUAGACGGUACUCGGUAGGAAGGGGUAAAAUCCUUUGAUCUAUCGAUGACCACCUGUGGCGAAGGCGGUCUACCAGAACACGUUCGACGGUGAGGGAUGAAAGCUGGGGGAGCAAACCGG